ACGGAAGGCAGCAGUGAGGAAUAUUGGUCAAUGGGCGGAAGCCUGAACCAGCUAAGUCGCGUGAAGGAUGAAGGUAUUAUGUAUUGUAAACUUCUUUAGUCGCAGAAAAAUAGGGAGGUCGUGACCUCUGAUGCUAGUAUGCGAAGAAUAAGGAUCGGCUAACUCCGUGCCAGCAGCCGCGGUAAUACGGAGGAUCCGAGCGUUAUCCGGAUUUAUUGGGUUUAAAGGGUGCGCAGGCGGUUAUUUAAGUCAGUGGUUAAAUCGCGGGGCUCAACUCCGGCCCGCCAUUGAUACUGGGAGACUUGAUUGCGGUCGAGGUUGGCGGAAUUCGUCGUGUAGCGGUGAAAUGCAUAGAUAUGUCGAAGAACACCGAUUGCGUAGGCAGCUGACCAGGCCGUAAAUGACGCUCAUGCACGAAAGUGCGGGGAUCGAACAGGAUUAGAUACCCUGGUA
RNAcentral lists this ribosomal RNA (453 nucleotides) under uncultured Porphyromonadaceae bacterium. RNAcentral's name for it is "partial 16S ribosomal RNA". It matches the Rfam family "Bacterial small subunit ribosomal RNA", at positions 341 to 792 of the family's 1533-position model. The record is from RNAcentral. Lineage: Bacteria; Pseudomonadati; Bacteroidota; Bacteroidia; Bacteroidales; Porphyromonadaceae.